GGAGGGUUCUGGCUGGGAGCUCAGCGGUAGGUCUUGUGGGUUCCUUAUACCUUGGGGUCCCCCUCACCGGCCCUUCCUACUCCUCAAGCCCCCUUCUUCAGUCCCAUCGUCCUCUGACACCAGCACAAUGGUGGCCCCGCGUGGCCGGGACGCGCGCCGCCCUCCCCUACGCUCCUUGGCGGCCAUCUUAGGGAAGAGAACGAGUGCCUGGAAAUUGGUACAAAGAGACGUGGGAUCAGUAGAGAUGUUUGCUCAGAAUCCAGCCACGGUGCUGUGAAGAUGCCCAGACUUCCCCAUGGAGAGGCCCACAGAUAGAGGAACCAGAGCUAGCACCAACUUGCCAGCCAUCGAGUGGACCAUCUUGGAUGUGGACCUUCCAAAUCCCAGGAAGUCAUCCCCGGGAUGCUGCAUGGAGCAAGGACAAACUGUCCCUGCCAAACCCCAUCCAAAUUGCAGAUUUGUGAGCAAAAUAAAUUAUUAUUUUAUCAUUUUA
This is a long non-coding RNA of Suricata suricatta (meerkat), 493 nucleotides long. RefSeq lists it as uncharacterized. Lineage: Eukaryota; Metazoa; Chordata; Mammalia; Carnivora; Herpestidae. The record is from RefSeq and is a predicted model, not a curated record. The transcript is spliced from 2 exons.